Sturnus vulgaris (Common starling) is the source of this 1245-nucleotide non-coding RNA. NCBI's taxonomy places the organism in Eukaryota, Metazoa, Chordata, Aves, Passeriformes, Sturnidae. The record is from RefSeq and is a predicted model, not a curated record.
GCUUACAUUUCUUUUUCUUGUCCCUUUCUGUUUUAUUCUUAUAGUAUUGCACAUGUUCAUCAUAGCUGUCAGAAUGUGUAGCCAUUUUGGAACUGCUGAUAAUCCUUGAAGAAAACAUCUUGCACCAUUAAGACUGUGUAGCAUCUACUUACUGCUUGCAAAGGUGUCUGCCCUUGCAUAAAGUGACAUAGGAGUAUCAUUGGUCAAGGCAAUGGCUUUCAGUGUUUCUGCUUUGAAAGAAAAUGAUGGAAGUGGCAGCUGAAUCUACAGAUCAUCGCUCUCUACCAGGCCAGGCUGCAUUGUCAGGUGGACUGGAUUGGCUUCCGGCUGGAAAGCUGCUUUGAUGUCUAGUCCUUGGUCACAGAGAGCAGCGUAUCGGCUGGCUGAGGGCCGCACCUUCUUUGGCUUGGUCUGCUGAGGGGGUUGUUGCCACUGAGCUGUAGAUUAAAAAGGAAAGAAAAAGUGUUAGCCUUCCUGAGCUGUGCACAUAAGUGUGCCAGAUGCUCAGUCAACCCUUUGUGAAGGAGACAGUAAUUUCUGAGAAGCAGAAAGUCAUUGUAUCAAAGGUAAAUUUGUUUAAUUUCUUGGCAUUGUUGUUUUGUUUCACCUUCAAAUGUGGUAAGUAAAUACUACAGCUGUGUUACUUUUUGGCAUUGUUUUCUACAUUUCCUUGUGCCACUGAGAAAGGUGACAGCAAGGAGGUUGUUUCGGUGCACUCCUAUUACAGUAACAGGCCCGUUCUAGGGUUAAUUGUUGCAUAUAAAAGGAAAUUAUGUGGUUGCCUUUGCUGCCCCUUGUAUGCUGAAGAAUGCUGAGCCAAAUCUCUUAAUCACAAUUCCCACUUCCAGCACCAUCCCAGAAAUCAUCCUUUAUCUCUCUCCCCUUCCCCCUCCCCCUUAAUUCUUGCUAUGAGAAGACUGGUAAGAGAUACUUCUUUAAGUAAAGAUUCACUAUAUAUGGGGAUGCUUUGGAACAAACUGAGUAAUUAAGCAGAAAGCCAUAAAAACACUCUACUACACUUCUGGUAGCUGUCACAGGUGUAUUACAGACUAAUGUACAAAAGAAUCCAAAAGGUUAGGGAAGUGCCAACAAAACAAUAGUAAUAAUGAUCCACAAAAAUCAUAUGAUCAUGCCGUUAUCUGUUGUUAAUUAGCUAUAUUUAAUGUACUAAGCAAAAACAGAAAGCAUGCAGGCUUGUUUUUCUUUAGGUAUCUGAAAGAUGAUGAAAUAUACUUUGAGAGAGCA